This 261-nucleotide ribosomal RNA is filed under the name uncultured archaeon. RNAcentral's name for it is "partial 16S ribosomal RNA". It matches the Rfam family "Archaeal small subunit ribosomal RNA", at positions 748 to 1009 of the family's 1478-position model. The record is from RNAcentral.
UAGCCGUAAACGAUACUCGCUAGGUGUCGGCCACGGUGCGACCGUUGUCGGUGCCGCAGGGAAGCCGUGAAGCGAGCCACCUGGGAAGUACGGCCGCAAGGCUGAAACUUAAAGGAAUUGGCGGGGGAGCACAACAACGGGUGGAGCUUGCGGUUUAAUUGGAUUCAACGCCGGAAAUCUUACCGGGACCGACAGCAACAUGAAGGCCAAGCUGAAGACUUUGCCGGAUUAGCUGAGAGGAGGUGCAUGGCGUAGUCGUGU